Zophobas morio is the source of this 988-nucleotide long non-coding RNA. RefSeq lists it as uncharacterized. The record is from RefSeq and is a predicted model, not a curated record. Lineage: Eukaryota; Metazoa; Arthropoda; Insecta; Coleoptera; Tenebrionidae. The transcript has 2 exons.
CGGAGCGUUGUCAUAAAUUACGUCUCUCUGGUACACCAGAGGUGUCAAAUUAUCAAUUGUCAAAGAAGUUUUGACAAUUUUUCUUUGACAAAUUUGUUUUGACCACAAACAAGGUUUUGUCACAGUAUGUUUUGUAGUGAAAACGUGGUGAAAACAGCCCAAAUAAAAUAGUCACAAAUCAGUCCGUGGAAAACAGUAGAAUUUGUUGUUUUGUGGUUUACAGCAAUCAGAUAUUUUCCAAUCACAUCAUUGUUAUAUUGUACAUUUGGAAUUAGUAAUUAAAUUGUAUCCAAAAAAUGAGCACAGAUUUCAAAUUUCAUUUUAUUUGUGACUACCAAACAAAGAAAAUCAUCCGUGAUUGUAAUUUGAAGCCAACUGAAGUCGAAAAAGAAGUUCAGCCCUGGCUAUAUGCUUACAACGUUAAUACUGGAUUUGAUGAUGAUGAUGAUGACGAUGAGGGUGAUUAUACUACUACUACUAAAGUUGGAAAAUGGAUGUUAUUUGUGUCACCAGAAUAUGUAAACUCAGUCUGGCAAAAAAUUAAAAACGCUAUAGAAGAUGGGCACCUAUGGAAUUCCAAAGUUUCAACAAUAGAACCAAGUAACAAAUCACAUGCAAUAAUGAUUUAUACCAGAGAUUAUACUGACUUGCCAGAUGUUAUUAAAGUUCUGGAUUAUCUUGAAACAUCAGGAAUUAAGUCAGCCAAUUCAGUUAUCAAAUAUAAGACUGACCGACAAACUUACGCUGGAGUAUAUGCUGGAGGUAAACAAAGGCCAUGGAUUUAUUCCUCUGACACAGUUCGCCAGCAAAAUCAAUAAUUUUCUGUUGUCAAAAUGAGUAUAUAAUUUUGAUUAUGUCUUGCAACGUGUUGAAUGUUUUGCCCAGUGUUAGUUUUAAUAAUUAUGUUUUUGUCAAACAUGUAGCAUUUAAAGAAAGCCCAGCGUGCCUUUAAUAUAAAAUAAUUGUUUAAUAAAUAACUUAAAAAUUA